RNAcentral lists this unclassified non-coding RNA (253 nucleotides) under uncultured Verrucomicrobiota bacterium. Its description in RNAcentral is "uncultured Verrucomicrobia bacterium contains 16S-23S intergenic spacer region". It matches the Rfam family "Bacterial small subunit ribosomal RNA", at positions 524 to 776 of the family's 1533-position model. The record is from RNAcentral. Lineage: Bacteria; Pseudomonadati; Verrucomicrobiota.
UACAGAGGUCCCGAGCGUUGUUCGGAUUCACUGGGCGUAAAGGGUGCGCAGGUGGCUGAGAAAGUCGGAUGUGAAAGCUCCGGGCUCAACCCGGAAAUGGCAUCGGAAGCUACUUGGCUGGAGGUUUGGAGGGGGGACUGGAAUUCUCGGUGUAGCAGUGAAAUGCGUAGAUAUCGAGAGGAACACCAGUGGCGAAGGCGAGUCCCUGGACAACACCUGACACUGAGGCACGAAAGCUAGGGGAGCAAACAGG